GUUACCAGCACGUAUUGGUGGGCACUCUAAGGAGACUGCCGGUGGACAAACCGGAGGAAGGUGGGGAGUGACGUCAAGUCAUCAUGGCCCUUACGGCCUGGGCUACACACGUGCUACAAUGGCCGGUACAAAGGGCAGCUACCUGGUGACAGGAUGCUAAUCUCAAAAGCCGGUCUCAGUUCGGAUCGGAGUCUGCAACCCGACUCUGUGAAGCUGGAAUCGCUAGUAAUCGCGCAUCAGCCGUGGCGCGGUGAAUACGUUCCCGGGCCUU
RNAcentral lists this ribosomal RNA (271 nucleotides) under uncultured Sphingobacteriales bacterium. RNAcentral describes it as "partial 16S ribosomal RNA". It matches the Rfam family "Bacterial small subunit ribosomal RNA", at positions 1114 to 1382 of the family's 1533-position model. Lineage: Bacteria; Pseudomonadati; Bacteroidota; Sphingobacteriia; Sphingobacteriales. The record is from RNAcentral.